UGGGAGAGGAAGCGGGUUGAACUGAAGCCGAGCUUUUUACAGCUCUGUUGUUCUAGGACCAGAGCAGUUCCACUCCUGCUUUCAUCACCUCUCCACCUCUGAGUCCCAGCCACCCACUCCUGCCUGCUUCCCCACAUGCCACGUCCUGGGGGAGGACAGUGUGGUUGGCAAUGCCCCCUCCACCCUCCGCCUUCCGCCCUGGGAGGUGCAGGAGUCUGCUUCAACUUUUGAGCUGUUUUGGUAGUUGGGCUUUUCCAGCCUUUCUAGGCAUCUGCUUUCCAGCUCUGGGAAAUUGGAGAUGUAACUUAACCAUACAAGUUCUAUACUAAUGUAUUCAGUGGCAUUAAUGUGAUGUUGUCUUUAAGGUGUUCUGGGACUGGAUAGGAGGUUUUUAACACAGGAUGCUUCACAUCCAAUUCUAAAGGCCUACAGGAUGCAGGUGUAAUUCAAGUUCUUACAUGGCUGUAAGGCAGACAUGGACAUUAUUUUAUAAUAUGACCAUAUGUUCAUAGAUUACGGUUAGUCCGCCGGCUCUGUAUCUAAUAAAAGUUUAAAUUCCAAACGCUUGAAGAAAAUUUGCGGACCAUGUCUUUUUGCCUGUAACUAGUUGCAAAAACUGAAAUCAAGACUCUACCACAAGCCAGUGUUUCCCAGUAGAGAAACCCUCUACUUUUACAACCUCUAAGUAAUGCGGUGGUUCUUUGGGUGAGAUGAGGGAUGCCAGAGUAUUUUGUUGGGACACUAGAGUGGCAUGACAAGUAUUCUGGGACUGGUUACAGUUGAAUCUCUGCUUCCUAUAUCCUGGACUGAUUACAGAGUCAAUGUUAGUGCGUUAACCAGCUUCUGAAUGCAAGGGUAGCUAGGAAGACAACAGAGAAAAUAGAAGGAUAUAAAGUAAUGGAGAGACUUCAGAGCAGUACAAAUGUUGACUUUGACACCACCAGCUGCUGACGUGAACUUGGCAGGAAUUUGUGAGAAAUGGUGGGUGUCACUGCAAGCAGGAGAGUCCUGCAGCUUUUGGGGUGAACAGGCAAAGGGGAGAACAGUUAUUGUGACCACUCGGGGGCUGAUUAUUUGUGUCCUGAAUGUGAAAAUGUCUGGUCUCCUGUUCAAUUUUGCAGCCACAACUUCACGUGACUCAGGGCAUUAUUUCCACCAGAAAACCAUAAAAACAUAAACAACCUCUGUUUCCCAAAGUGUUUGUUCUCGAUCUGAGAUGAUUGUCCUGUGGUGGGAGAUGCACAAAGCAGGGUCAUCAGAAGCCUCUCAAUUCCAAAGAUGAUUAUAGUGAAAAACAUUGCACAGUGACAGUGAAUCCUUGGAAUAUGAAGAAAGAUUGUAAAGUCCUGAAUGAAUUAAGAAGGAAUUGUUACAUUAACUUACAUAGAAAACUUGAGCCUAUGAAUCUAAACUCAUCUGUGAUGGCCUGCAGCUGGGAGCAAGCAGAUCAGUGUCAGUCCCUUUGCAGCCGUUGGCUGGGAGCCUGCAUGUUCCCUGGAAUGAUAUUUGAAACAUGUCACCCUAGCCGUGCCUUCGCUCUGGACUGGGAGGCGAGUCAGUCAGAAUCUGCAUUAUGGAAUGUUUUGGAUGACAAGCUUGUAUUUGCAAAUGUACACACCCUGUGGGAGGUGCUCUGUACAUACGCUGAGAUACUGUACAUAAAAUUGCCUCUGAAUCCCAAUCAUCUGAAAACCGUGUCCUCAGCCUUUGAUACCUUCAGCUGUUUUAUGAAAGUCCUCCAAGUGGAUGAAAGUAUCAACAACCGGAACAAGAGUUUUUCAUUGCCCUAUUUGAGAAGAGCUGCGUGAACGACUUUUAUAUUCAGGAUAGAGAUACAUUCAUCAAUCCAAACACCAGGAGCCGCACUGGACUCCAUCUGAGAUGACAGCAACCCCUCAAAUUCAGAAGCACUUCUCUAACUGACAACAUCUCGCAUGAAAUGAAGUUUGUAAAAUUGCAACUUCAGCCUCCAUCAGAGGACCUCAGCUGCCCCAGCGAACAGGGCCUUCUGUACAGGGAAUGUGCUCCUCCUCGAAGCAUAGACAAGAAGCAGCCCUUAGAUCUCAUCAGGAAAUUCUACGGAGAGAAGGUCGGAAUCUACUUUGCUUGGGCUGGGCUAUUACAUUCAGAUGCUCCUCCUGGCAGCAGUCGUGGGGGUGACUUGCUUUCUGUAUGUAUAUUUUAAUCAAAAUAACUGUACUUAGAGGUAACUUCUCUUUAUUCCUUGUUACGGUGCUUACUUAACUUAGAAUGACAUUCUCCAGGAGCAUCCACGUUGCUGCAAAUGGCCCUAUAUUGUCAGUUUUUAUAGCCGAGUGGUUUUCCAUUGUAUAAAUAUACCACUUCUUUAGCCAGUCAUCCGUUGAUGGACAUUUAGGCUAUCUCCAUGUCUUGGCUAUUGUAAAUAGUGCUGCUAUGUAUAUUGGGGUGCAGCUGUCAUCCUGAAGUAGGGUUCCUUCAGGAUAUAUGCACAGGAGUGGGAUUCCUGUGUCAUAUGGCAAUUCUAUUCCUAGUCUUUUGAGGAAACUCAAUACUGUUUCCACAGUGGCUGCACCAAACUGCAUUCCCACCAGAAGUGUCGGAGGUUUCCCUUUGU
Camelus dromedarius (Arabian camel) is the source of this 2596-nucleotide long non-coding RNA. RefSeq lists it as uncharacterized. The transcript has 7 exons. The record is from RefSeq and is a predicted model, not a curated record. Lineage: Eukaryota; Metazoa; Chordata; Mammalia; Artiodactyla; Camelidae.